GAUGAACGCUAGCUACAGGCUUAACACAUGCAAGUCGAGGGGAAACGACAUUGAAGCUUGCUUCGAUGGUCGUCGGCCGGCGCACGGGUGAGUAACGCGUAUCCAACCUGCCUCUGACCAAGGGAUAACCCGUCGAAAGUCGGCCUAAUACCUUAUGCAGUCGUCGGAAGUCAUCUGAUGACGACGAAAGAUUUCAUCGGUGAGAGAUGGGGAUGCGUCUGAUUAGCUUGUUGGCGGGGUAACGGCCCACCAAGGCAACGAUCAGUAGGGGUUCUGAGAGGAAGGUCCCCCACAUUGGAACUGAGACACGGUCCAAACUCCUACGGGAGGCAGCAGUGAGGAAUAUUGGUCAAUGGGCGAGAGCCUGAACCAGCCAAGUAGCGUGCAGGAUGACGGCCCUAUGGGUUGUAAACUGCUUUUAUGCGGGGAUAAAGUGAGGGACGUGUCCUUCAUUGCAGGUACCGCAUGAAUAAGGACCGGCUAAUUCCGUG
This 491-nucleotide ribosomal RNA is filed under the name uncultured bacterium. RNAcentral describes it as "partial 16S ribosomal RNA". It matches the Rfam family "Bacterial small subunit ribosomal RNA", at positions 28 to 507 of the family's 1533-position model. The record is from RNAcentral.